CCUACGGGGGGCAGCAGUGGGGGAUAUUGCACAAUGGGGGGAACCCUGAUGCAGCGACGCCGCGUGGGGGAAGAAGCGCCUCGGCGCGUAAAGCCCUGUCAGCAGGGAAGCAAAUGACGGUACCUGAAGAAGAAGCACCGGCUAACUACGUGCCAGCAGCCGCGGUAAUACGGAGGGGGCCAGCGUUAUCCGGAUUUACUGGGGGUAAAGGGGGCGCAGACGGCGAGGCAAGCCAGGAGUGAAAGGCCGGGGCCCAACCCCGGGACUGCGCUUGGAACUGCGUGGCUGGGGUGCAGGAGGGCAGGCGGAAUUCGUGGUGUAGCGGUGAAAUGCGUAGAUAUCAGGAGGAACCCCGGUGGCGAAGGCGGCCUGCUGGACUGCAACUGACGUUGAGGCCCGAAAGCGUGGGGAGCAAACAGGAUUAGAUACCCGUGUAGUC
RNAcentral lists this ribosomal RNA (439 nucleotides) under uncultured bacterium. RNAcentral describes it as "partial 16S ribosomal RNA". It matches the Rfam family "Bacterial small subunit ribosomal RNA", at positions 338 to 795 of the family's 1533-position model. The record is from RNAcentral.